RNAcentral lists this ribosomal RNA (460 nucleotides) under uncultured bacterium. Its description in RNAcentral is "partial 16S ribosomal RNA". It matches the Rfam family "Bacterial small subunit ribosomal RNA", at positions 338 to 795 of the family's 1533-position model. The record is from RNAcentral.
UCUACGGGUGGCAGCAGUGAGGAAUAUUGGUCAAUAGACGAGAGUCUGAACCAGCCAAGUAGCGUGAAGGAUGACUGCCCUAUGGGUUGUAAACUUCUUUUAUAUGGGAAUAAAACGUUCCACGUGUGGGAUUUUGUAUGUACCAUAUGAAUAAGGAUCGGCUAACUCCGUGCCAGCAGCCGCGGUAAUACGGAGGAUCCGAGCGUUAUCCGGAUUUAUUGGGUUUAAAGGGAGCGUAGGUGGAUUGUUAAGUCAGUUGUGAAAGUUUGCGGCUCAACCGUAAAAUUGCAGUUGAAUCUGGCAGUCUUGAGUACAGUAGAGGUGAGCGGAAUUCGUGGUGUAGCGGUGAAAUGCUGAGAUAUCACGAAGAACUCCGAUUGCGAAGGCAGCCUACUAAACUGCCACUGACAUUGAUGCUCGAAAGUGUGGGUAUCAAACAGGAUUAGAUACCCCAGUAGUC